RNAcentral lists this ribosomal RNA (482 nucleotides) under uncultured bacterium. Its description in RNAcentral is "bacterial SSU rRNA". It matches the Rfam family "Bacterial small subunit ribosomal RNA", at positions 163 to 657 of the family's 1533-position model. The record is from RNAcentral.
CUAAUACCGGAUAUGACGCAUGAUCGCAUGGUCGUGUGUGGAAAGCUUCGGCGGUGCAGGAUGGGCCCGCGGCCUAUCAGCUUGUUGGUGGGGUAGUGGCCUACCAAGGCGACGACGGGUAGCCGGCCUGAGAGGGCGACCGGCCACACUGGGACUGAGACACGGCCCAGACUCCUACGGGAGGCAGCAGUGGGGAAUAUUGCACAAUGGGCGGAAGCCUGAUGCAGCGACGCCGCGUGAGGGAUGACGGCCUUCGGGUUGUAAACCUCUUUCAGCAGGGAAGAAGCUUUCGGGUGACGGUACCUGCAGAAGAAGCACCGGCUAACUACGUGCCAGCAGCCGCGGUAAUACGUAGGGUGCGAGCGUUGUCCGGAAUUAUUGGGCGUAAAGAGCUCGUAGGCGGCUUGUCACGUCGGUUGUGAAAGCCCGGGGCUUAACCCCGGGUCUGCAGUCGAUACGGGCAGGCUAGAGUUCGGUAGGGG